RNAcentral lists this transfer RNA (105 nucleotides) under Saitozyma sp. JCM 24511. It matches the Rfam family "tRNA". Rfam says of the family: Transfer RNA (tRNA) molecules are approximately 80 nucleotides in length. Their secondary structure includes four short double-helical elements and three loops (D, anti-codon, and T loops). The record is from Rfam by way of RNAcentral. Lineage: Eukaryota; Fungi; Basidiomycota; Tremellomycetes; Tremellales; Trimorphomycetaceae.
GACAGGAUGUCCGAGUGGUCUAAGGAGAUCGAUUAGAACUUGGUUUCAAGCAAACCAUCAGAUCGAUUCGCUUCGGCGGCGGGGGUUCGAAUCCCUCUUCUGUCU